GAGGGCUGCCCGAGCGCAUGUGGCUGAGUGUUGCCCUUGGUGCCCAGCACAGGCAGCUCGGACUGAAACCCUC
This 73-nucleotide microRNA precursor is filed under the name Ovis aries (sheep). RNAcentral describes it as "miRNA (ENSOARG00000023342.1)". Lineage: Eukaryota; Metazoa; Chordata; Mammalia; Artiodactyla; Bovidae. The record is from RNAcentral.